AGCGAACGCUGGCGGCAGGCCUAACACAUGCAAGUCGAACGAACUCUUCGGAGUUAGUGGCGGACGGGUGAGUAACACGUGGGAACGUGCCCUUUGGUACGGAAUAACUCAGGGAAACUUGAGCUAAUACCGUAUGUGCCCUUCGGGGGAAAGAUUUAUCGCCAUUGGAGCGGCCCGCGUCUGAUUAGCUAGUUGGUGAGGUAAAGGCUCACCAAGGCUACGAUCAGUAGCUGGUCUGAGAGGAUGAUCAGCCACAGUGGGACUGAGACACGGCCCAAACUCCUACGGGAGGCAGCAGUGGGGAAUCUUGCGCAAUGGGCGAAAGCCUGACGGAGCCAGGCCGCGUGAAUGAUGAAGGUCUUAGGAUUGUAAAAUUCUUUCACCGGGGACGAUAAUGACGGUACCCGGAGAAGAAGCCCCGGCUAACUUCGUG
RNAcentral lists this ribosomal RNA (433 nucleotides) under uncultured bacterium. RNAcentral's name for it is "partial 16S ribosomal RNA". It matches the Rfam family "Bacterial small subunit ribosomal RNA", at positions 29 to 507 of the family's 1533-position model. The record is from RNAcentral.